GCAUAUCAAUAAGCGGAGGAAAAGAAACCCAACAGGGGAUUGCCCUCAGUAACGGCGAGUGAAGCGGCAACAGCUCAAAUUUGAAACCUGCCUCCCGGCCGGAUUGUAAUUUGCAGAGGAUGCUUUGGGAAGGGCACUGAUCUAAGUUUCUUGGAACAGAACGUCACAGAGGGUGAGAAUCCCGUCCGUGGUCGGCCGCCUGCCCCGUGUAAAGCUCCUUCAACGAGUCGAGUUGUUUGGGAAUGCAGCUCUAAAUGGGUGGUAAAUUUCAUCUAAAGCUAAAUAUUGGCCAGAGACCGAUAGCGCACAAGUAGAGUGAUCGAAAGAUGAAAAGCACUUUGGAAAGAGAGUUAAACAGCACGUGAAAUUGUUGAAAGGGAAGCGCUUGCAACCAGACUUGCGCGCAGGUACUCAGGAGCGGUUCGCCGUUCUGUAUUUGCCUGCGUGCAGGCCAGCAUCAGUUUUGGGGGUGGGAUAAAGGCCGUUGGAAUGUAGCUCCUCGGAGUGUUAUAGCCUUCGGUGCCAUGCCACCUCCCGGGACUGAGGACCGCGCUUCGGCUAGGAUGCUGGCGUAAUGGUUGUAAGCGACCCGUCUUGAAACACGGCCCAAGGAGUCUAACAUCUAUGCGAGUGUUUGGGUGUCAACCCCACACGCGGAAUGAAAGUGAACGGAGGUGAGAGCCCUUAAGGGUGCAUCAUCGACCGAUCCUGAUGUCUUCGGAUGGAUUUGAGUAUGAGCAUAGCUGUUGGGACCCGAAAGAUGGUGAACUAUGCCUGAAUAGGGUGAAGCCAGAGGAAACUCUGGUGGAGGCUCGCAGCGGUUCUGACGUGCAAAUCGAUCGUCAAAUUUGGGUAUAGGGCGAAAGAC
Molecule: ribosomal RNA, 868 nt
Filed under: Chaetomella oblonga
Lineage: Eukaryota; Fungi; Ascomycota; Leotiomycetes; Chaetomellales; Chaetomellaceae
Description: LSU rRNA
Rfam family: Eukaryotic large subunit ribosomal RNA
Source: RNAcentral